This is a non-coding RNA of Acanthosepion pharaonis, 101 nucleotides long. Lineage: Eukaryota; Metazoa; Mollusca; Cephalopoda; Sepiida; Sepiidae. The record is from the annotation of a GenBank genome assembly.
UUACGACCAUAUCACGUUGAAACACCAGUUCUCGUACGAUCACCGAAGUUAAGCAACAUCGAGCCUGGUCAGUAUCUAGAUGGGAAUACCUGGUGUUGUAU